GCCGACAUGGCUCAGUUGGUAGAGCAACGCAUUCGUAAUGCGUGGGUCCGGGGUUCGAGUCCCCGUGUCGGCUCCA
RNAcentral lists this transfer RNA (76 nucleotides) under Prevotella sp. RNAcentral's name for it is "tRNA-Thr". It matches the Rfam family "tRNA". From Rfam's summary of the family: Transfer RNA (tRNA) molecules are approximately 80 nucleotides in length. Their secondary structure includes four short double-helical elements and three loops (D, anti-codon, and T loops). The record is from RNAcentral. RNAcentral also lists the same sequence under 3 other names. Lineage: Bacteria; Pseudomonadati; Bacteroidota; Bacteroidia; Bacteroidales; Prevotellaceae.